RNAcentral lists this ribosomal RNA (301 nucleotides) under uncultured bacterium. RNAcentral's name for it is "partial 16S ribosomal RNA". It matches the Rfam family "Bacterial small subunit ribosomal RNA", at positions 509 to 809 of the family's 1533-position model. The record is from RNAcentral.
CAGUCGCCACGGUAAUACGUAGGGUGCAAGCGUUAAUCGGAAUUACUGGGCGUAAAGCGUGCGCAGGCGGUUAUAUAAGACAGAUGUGAAAUCCCCGGGCUCAACCUGGGAACUGCAUUUGUGACUGUAUAGCUAGAGUACGGCAGAGGGGGAUGGAAUUCCGCGUGUAGCAGUGAAAUGCGUAGAUAUGCGGAGGAACACCGAUGGCGAAGGCAAUCACCUGGGCCUGUACUGACGCUCAUGCACGAAAGCGUGGGGAGCAAACAGGAUUAGAUACCCGUGUAGUCCCUGUCUCUUAUAA